UGUUCUUAUUCGCUGACAUUUGUUUUCCAAUUGCGUGAAAUUUGGUCAUUUCCUUAGUGUUUCGCUGACCGACCUGUGCUGGUAUUGUGAUUAAGAGCUAAUACACAUUUUUCGGACAAUUCUGCUGUGCUGCGUUCCUGCUCCGCCUGUAUAUUGCUCCGCCGUAUUUUAUAGUGUUGCGUUCCUGUUGCGCCUUUGCGUUAGUGUGUGCGUUGUGAUUUAGACACGUUGAAAUUUUUUGUAUGCUUCUGUUGUGCUGCGUUCCUGCUCCACCCGUGUAUUAGAUUGCUGCGUUCCUGUUAACAUACAUAUCGUCGCUUAAAGUACAAAACCGCG
This 336-nucleotide long non-coding RNA is filed under the name Rhagoletis pomonella (apple maggot). Its description in RNAcentral is "uncharacterized LOC118740914". Lineage: Eukaryota; Metazoa; Arthropoda; Insecta; Diptera; Tephritidae. The record is from RNAcentral.